RNAcentral lists this ribosomal RNA (372 nucleotides) under Cornu aspersum (brown garden snail). RNAcentral describes it as "partial 16S ribosomal RNA". It matches the Rfam family "Bacterial large subunit ribosomal RNA", at positions 1944 to 2629 of the family's 2925-position model. Lineage: Eukaryota; Metazoa; Mollusca; Gastropoda; Stylommatophora; Helicidae. The record is from RNAcentral.
GACUGUGCAAAGGUAGCAUAAUCAGUUGGCCUAUAAUUGAGGUCUGGAAUGAACGAAAAAUAGGGUAGCAACUGUCUUAGUAUAUUUUUUUAAACUUAGUUAGCAAGUGAAAAUACUUGCAAAUAUACAAAAGACGAGAAGACCCUAGAAACUUACGGGAUUUUUGUUGGGGCGACAAGAUUACAGUUAACUAAUCUUAUUUAAACAAGACGUAUAGCAGAAAGAAAAAGUUACUCUAGGGAUAACAGCAUAAUUUCAAAAGUUUGUGACCUCGAUGUUGGACUAGGUAAAAAACACCUUAGAAAGGAGUCAAUAUGCUCUGUUCGAGCUGUUUCAACCUACAUGAUCUGAGUUCAGACCGGCGUAAGCCAG